UGCAUAUGCUGAUGCAAACACUGGUGCUGCAUUAACUAAUGCUUCUUCAGAGAUGUCCCUUGAUGGCUGGGAUGGUAUUGCUCUUGAAUAUGCUGUUGAUUGGCCAUUGCAGUUGUUCUUUACUCAAGAAGUGCUGUCCAAGUACCUUAGGGUCUUCCAAUAUUUGCUACGGCUCAAAAGAACACAAAUGGAAUUGGAGAAAUCAUGGGCCUCUGUGAUGCAUCAAGAUCACACUGAUUUUGCCAGGCAUCGGAAUGACCGUAACUGCUCAAUAUCUCAACAGCGACGGCAACGUUUUAGGCCAAUGUGGCGUGUUAGAGAGCAUAUGGCAUUCUUGAUCAGAAAUCUUCAGUUUUAUAUCCAGGUGGAUGUGAUAGAGUCUCAAUGGAAUGUUUUGCAAGCCCAUAUUCAAGACUCUCAUGACUUCACUGAACUUGUGGGCUUCCAUCAAGAGUAUUUAUCUGCUUUAGUUUCACAGUCUUUCUUGGACAUUGGCUCUGUGUCAAGGAUAUUAGACAGCAUAAUGAAACUUUGUCUGCAAUUCUGUUGGAGCAUUGAGAACCAAGAAAACAACCCAAAUACGUCUGAACUGGAUCAUAUAACAGAGGAAUUUAACAAGAAAUCCAACUCAUUGUACACUAUAUUGCGUAGUAGCAGGCUAGCAGGGAGUCAACGAGCUCCCUUUCUUAGGCGUUUUCUUUUGCGUCUAAACUUUAAUUCAUUUUUUGAGGCAACUGCUAGAGGGGUGCUGAAUGUUGUUAGACCUUCUCCAACGCUUCCUGUUUUAAAUCAACAUUAGCAAUGAAUUAUUCAUGAAGCCCAAAUUAGCUAAAUGAUUCUCGCAAGUUAAUGCCAUGUGAACACUGUCGCUGCCGAUGGAGUUGAGGAAAAUAAAUAUCUAAAAUUGUUUGGGAACAGGUUCUCAAGCUGUUAUCCGCUUAGACUAUUAGGUGAUAUAAUUGGCUAUGAUGGGGGUCCAUGUUUCCUCAGUAUGAUGAUUAUCUAGGAUUCAUGUCUUAUAAGUCGUCUCUUGAGAAAGUUGGCUGGUUGAGCUUGUGGGUCUGUAUUAUCGGUUUGCCUCUUGUUGACUGACAAGUAACGAUCCCCUUGGAAAGUGAGAUGGCGUUUUUGGUAGCUGAAUUCACAGUGGCUAGUUCUCUGUUCUCACCUCGUUGACUGUGAUGAAGCACAUGAGAAAGGUUGCUCGUUAGGUUGCUGGCUUUGCUGCUGCUUGAGGUUUAGGUUCUGUCUUUUUGUUGCGCGACUGUGCGCUACACAGGAUUUGAGGCUGUUGUGGCAUUUGAUUUCUGAUUUGCAUACUUUUUGUAGAGUUAAUUUUUGGUGCAUGUAAAGGCAUUAUGACAGGAAAUAUUUGUAUUGCAAAUCUAUCUAAUCAUAAGAUUGG
Molecule: unclassified non-coding RNA, 1405 nt
Filed under: Hevea brasiliensis (rubber tree)
Lineage: Eukaryota; Viridiplantae; Streptophyta; Magnoliopsida; Malpighiales; Euphorbiaceae
Source: RNAcentral